GUCUCUGGCCAUGCCACCCUGAACGUGCCCAACCUCGUCUGAUCUCGGAAGCUAAGCAGGGUUAGGCCUGGCUAGUACUUGGAUGGGAGACCACCUAGGAAGACCAGGUGCUAUAAGCA
RNAcentral lists this ribosomal RNA (119 nucleotides) under Pteropus alecto (black flying fox). The record is from RNAcentral. Lineage: Eukaryota; Metazoa; Chordata; Mammalia; Chiroptera; Pteropodidae.